CCUACGGGAGGCUGCAGUCGAGAAUCUUUCACAAUGGGGGAAACCCUGAUGGUGCGACGCCGCGUGGGGGAAUGAAGGUCUUCGGAUUGUAAACCCCUGUCAUGUGGAAGCAAAUUAAAAAGAUAGUACCACAAGAGGAAGAGACGGCGAACCCUGCGCCAGCAGCCACGGUAAGACAGAGGUCUCAAUCGUGAUUCGGAAUCACUGGGCGUAAAGCGUGCGUAGGCGGUUUCGUAAGUCGAGUGGGAAAGGCGCGGGCUCAACCCGCGGACUGCACAUGAUACUGCGAGACUAGAGUAAUGGAGGGGGAAGCGGAAUUCCUGGUGUAGCAGUGAAAUGCGUAGAUAUUGAGAGGAACACCCGUGGCGAAGGCGGGUUACUGGACAGUAACUGACGCUGAGGCACGAAGGCCAGGGGAGCGAACGGGAUUAGAUACCCUUGUAGUC
RNAcentral lists this ribosomal RNA (446 nucleotides) under uncultured bacterium. RNAcentral describes it as "partial 16S ribosomal RNA". It matches the Rfam family "Bacterial small subunit ribosomal RNA", at positions 338 to 795 of the family's 1533-position model. The record is from RNAcentral.